UUUAUCGGAGAGUUUGAUCCUGGCUCAGGACGAACGCUGGCGGCGUGCCUAAUACAUGCAAGUCGAGCGGACAGAUGGGAGCUUGCUCCCUGAUGUUAGCGGCGGACGGGUGAGUAACACGUGGGUAACCUGCCUGUAAGACUGGGAUAACUCCGGGAAACCGGGGCUAAUACCGGAUGGUUGUUUGAACCGCAUGGUUCAAACAUAAAAGGUGGCUUCGGCUACCACUUACAGAUGGACCCGCGGCGCAUUAGCUAGUUGGUGAGGUAAUGGCUC
RNAcentral lists this ribosomal RNA (276 nucleotides) under Bacillus subtilis. RNAcentral's name for it is "partial 16S ribosomal RNA". It matches the Rfam family "Bacterial small subunit ribosomal RNA", at positions 1 to 266 of the family's 1533-position model. Lineage: Bacteria; Bacillati; Bacillota; Bacilli; Caryophanales; Bacillaceae. The record is from RNAcentral.